This 176-nucleotide unclassified non-coding RNA is filed under the name soil metagenome. Its description in RNAcentral is "partial internal transcribed spacer 1". The record is from RNAcentral.
CCGAGUUUUAUACAAACUCAUCAACCCCUGUGAAACAUACCUAAAAAACGUUUGCUUUCGGCGGGAAAACAGACGGCCCCUGUAAACAAACGGGCCCGCCCCCCGCCAGAGGGACCCCCUAAACUCUGUUUUUUUAUAAUGUUUUUUUCUGAGUAAAACAAGCAAAAUAAAAUUAA